This 490-nucleotide ribosomal RNA is filed under the name uncultured bacterium. RNAcentral describes it as "partial 16S ribosomal RNA". It matches the Rfam family "Bacterial small subunit ribosomal RNA", at positions 30 to 507 of the family's 1533-position model. The record is from RNAcentral.
AUUGAACGCUGGCGGCAGGCCUAACACAUGCAAGUCGAACGGUAACAGGAAGAAGCUUGCUUCUUUGCUGACGAGUGGCGGACGGGUGAGUAAUGUCUGGGAAACUGCCUGAUGGAGGGGGAUAACUACUGGAAACGGUAGCUAAUACCGCAUAACGUCGCAAGCCCAAAGAGGGGGACCUUCGGGCCUCUUGCCAUCGGAUGUGCCCAGAUGGGAUUAGCUAGUAGGUGGGGUAACGGCUCACCUAGGCGACGAUCCCUAGCUGGUCUGAGAGGAUGACCAGCCACACUGGAACUGAGACACGGUCCAGACUCCUACGGGAGGCAGCAGUGGGGAAUAUUGCACAAUGGGCGCAAGCCUGAUGCAGCCAUGCCGCGUGUAUGAAGAAGGCCUUCGGGUUGUAAAGUACUUUCAGCGGGGAGGAAGGGAGUAAAGUUAACACCUUUGCUCAUUGACGUUACCCGCAGAAGAAGCACCGGCUAACUCCGUG